This 941-nucleotide non-coding RNA is filed under the name Macroptychaster accrescens. The record is from RNAcentral. Lineage: Eukaryota; Metazoa; Echinodermata; Asteroidea; Paxillosida; Astropectinidae.
CAACCGAUUUGGUCCUAGUACCUCUCUUUCAUUUUAGCUAAGAUGAUACAUGCAAGCAAAACCCCCUACAGUGAGUAAAAACUUUACCGCCCUAUAAAGUUGCGGAUCGUUUUCCCCCAGCAUCAGGUUCAACCUUUUUGCCAUUUACACUUAGACCACCACGUCUGCAGUACUUAACCUUAUACAAUAAGCAAAAGCUUGAUAUAGCUAUAGCAAAUAGGCCUGGUAAAUUAUGUGCCAGCCACCGCGGUUAUACAUAAAGCCCAAAUCAAAGAGAAACGGUAAAAAGGUGGCCCUAAUAACUAGAAUAGACACCACCUCUAGCAGUAAUAAGCUUAUACAGCAAAUUUAUGACAACCAUUAAUUUAAUUCUAGCUUCCAUUCUUAUGCCACGAAAACUCAAAAAUAAACUGGGAUUAGAUACCCCACUAUAUGAGUCGUAAAAAAACAAAACACCCGAGAACUACGAACUAUAGUUUAAAACUCAAAGGACUUGGCGGUUUUUUAGACCUUCCUGGAGGAGCUUGCUACAUAAUCGAUAACCCACGAUAAACCUUACCAACUUUUGCAAAAUCUCAACUUGUAUACCAUCGUCGUCAGUCUACUUCAUAAGAAUGUAUACAAAAAGAGCUUACCCUCUUUACGUCAGAUCAAGGUGCAGUUAAUAAGUUGGAGAUUAGUGAGCUACAAUAAAUCCACAAACCAAACACAAAUAUGAAAAGCCUUAUGAAACAAAGCUUAAAAUAGGAUUCAGCAGUAAUACCUUACCAGAAAAUAAGUAUGAAGCCCAGCUCUAAAAAGCGCACACAUCGCCCGUCACUCUCGUCCACAGAGGAGAAAAGUCGUAACACAGUAGGCGUAUUGGAAAAUGCGCCUGGAAUUAUUCUUAUAGUUAAAAAAUAACAAUAGCUUUUCAUGCUAUAAGUUCGGGUUAUACUAUU